This 340-nucleotide unclassified non-coding RNA is filed under the name soil metagenome. Its description in RNAcentral is "partial contains 5.8S ribosomal RNA, internal transcribed spacer 2, and large subunit ribosomal RNA". The stretch from base 1 to 120 matches the Rfam family "5.8S ribosomal RNA", at positions 35 to 154 of the family's 154-position model. The record is from RNAcentral.
GAUGAAGAACGUAGCGAAAUGCGAUAAGUAAUGUGAAUUGCAGAGUUCAGAGAAUCAUCGAAUCUUUGAACGCACAUUGCGCCCGUCAGUAUUCUGACGGGCAUGCCUGUCCGAGCGUCAUUUCAACCCUCAAGCACUGCUUGGCGUUGGCGGAUUGCGUGCCCUCGCGGCGCUGCAACCGCCCAAAUACAGUGGCGGUCCCGCUGCGGCUCCCUUUGCGUAGUAACUCACCUCGCACUGGACCGGGCGGCGGCCUGCCGUAAAACCCCAACUCACGAAAUGUUGACCUCGGAUCAGGUAGGAAUACCCGCUGAACUUAAGCAUAUCAAUAAGCGGAGGA